This 305-nucleotide ribosomal RNA is filed under the name uncultured bacterium. RNAcentral describes it as "bacterial SSU rRNA". It matches the Rfam family "Bacterial small subunit ribosomal RNA", at positions 338 to 659 of the family's 1533-position model. The record is from RNAcentral.
CCUACGGGGCGCAGCAGUGGGGGAUAUUGCACAAUGGGGGAAACCCUGAUGCAGCGACGCCGCGUGAGUGAAGAAGUAUUUCGGUACGUAAAGCUCUAUCAGCAGGGAAGAAUAAUGACGGUACCUGACUAAGAAGCCCCGGCUAACUACGUGCCAGCAGCCGCGGUAAUACGUAGGGGGCAAGCGUUAUCCGGAUUUACUGGGUGUAAAGGGUGCGUAGGUGGCAGGGCAAGUCAGAUGUGAAAGCCCGGGGCCCAACCCCGGUACUGCAUUUGAAACUGUCCGGCUGGAGUGCAGGAGAGGUA